AUUGAACGCUGGCGGCAUGCCUUACACAUGCAAGUCGAACGGCAGCACGGGAGCAAUCCUGGUGGCGAGUGGCGAACGGGUGAGUAAUAUAUCGGAACGUGCCCAGUCGUGGGGGAUAACGUAGCGAAAGCUACGCUAAUACCGCAUACGAUCUAUGGAUGAAAGCGGGGGAUCGCAAGACCUCGCGCGAUUGGAGCGGCCGAUAUCAGAUUAGGUAGUUGGUGAGGUAAAGGGGCUCACCAAGCCGACGAUCUGUAGCUGGUCUGAGAGGACGACCAGCCACACUGGGACUGAGACACGGCCCAGACUCCUACGGAGGCAGCAGUGGGGGAAUUUUUGGGACAAUGGGCGCAAGCCUGAUCCAGCAAUGCCGCGUGCAGGAUGAAGGCCUUC
This 393-nucleotide ribosomal RNA is filed under the name uncultured bacterium. RNAcentral's name for it is "bacterial SSU rRNA". It matches the Rfam family "Bacterial small subunit ribosomal RNA", at positions 30 to 419 of the family's 1533-position model. The record is from RNAcentral.